GUUAAGAUCAAAAGACAUUCAGUUAGUGUCCUAAAGUGAAAACUGUGGUGCUCCCAAACCUUUCUGCUGAGGUUCUUAAAAGAUGGUAGUAAUAUCUAUUCACAACUCUCAAGUGCCAUCAGUGGACAAAUGAUACUAUCAUCUGGAUAGAUCUAAUGGAUUUCUUUAACUUCCUUUUGCUAUUCUGGAAAUUUGUUCUAUGUUUGGAAGGGAAUCUUGCAGUCUGCAGCUCUGAAUUGUGCAUUGUUCUAACCAUUUACACACUUGUCUAUUUCAG
RNAcentral lists this unclassified non-coding RNA (277 nucleotides) under Hevea brasiliensis (rubber tree). Lineage: Eukaryota; Viridiplantae; Streptophyta; Magnoliopsida; Malpighiales; Euphorbiaceae. The record is from RNAcentral.